This 266-nucleotide long non-coding RNA is filed under the name Phoenix dactylifera (date palm). RNAcentral's name for it is "long non-coding RNA (PDAC_LNC001719)". Lineage: Eukaryota; Viridiplantae; Streptophyta; Magnoliopsida; Arecales; Arecaceae. The record is from RNAcentral.
GGUCCUGAAGCAUAUAGGUGGCAAAUCUGAUCUUUUCCUCCUCAGUACAACCCAUGGCCCUGAAGGCCUUCUCCAUCUCAUCUACCCAACAUUCGGCCUCUUGGGGAUCGGUAGUUCCCUUGAAGGCCGAAGGAGCCAACUUCCUGAACUCUGCUAUACUCCUCCCCUGAUCUGAAGAACUAGCAGAGGGAAAUAGCUGCUGUGGUCCCCUCUGCUGCCGAACUAACCCAACAACCUCUCUGAUCAGCUCCAUCACCUGGGUCGGU